GUAACAGAGGUAGCUUGCUACUUGCUGACGACCGGCGCACGGGUGCGUAACGCGUAUACAAUCUGCCUUAUACAGAGGGAUAGCCUUUAGAAAUGAAGAUUAAUACCUCAUGGUCUAUUAAUAUAGCAUUAUAUAAAUAGUAAAGCUUCGGCGGUAUAAGAUGAGUAUGCGUCCUAUUAGUUAGUUGGUAAGGUAACGGCUUACCAAGACAACGAUAGGUAGGGGCCCUGAGAGGGGGAUCCCCCACACUGGUACUGAGACACGGACCAGACUCCUACGGGAGGCAGCAGUGAGGAAUAUUGGACAAUGGAGGUAACUCUGAUCCAGCCAUGCCGCGUGCAGGAAGACGGCCCUAUGGGUUGUAAACUGCUUUUAUAUAGGAAGAAACCUUUUCACGUGUGAGAAGCUGACGGUACUAUAAGAAUAAGGACCGGCUAACUCCGUGCCAGCAGCCGCGGUAAUACGGAGGGUCCGAGCGUUAUCCGGAAUCAUUGGGUUUAAAGGGUCCGUAGGCGGGAAUCUAAGUCAGUGGUGAAAUCUUACAGCUCAACUGUAAAAUUGCCAUUGAUACUGGGUUUCUUGAAUUAGUGUGAAGUGAUUAGAAUGUGUAGUGUAGCGGUGAAAUGCAUAGAUAUUACACAGAAUACCAAUUGCGAAGGCAGAUCACUAACACUAUAUUGACGCUGAGGGACGAAAGCGUU
This 701-nucleotide ribosomal RNA is filed under the name uncultured bacterium. Its description in RNAcentral is "bacterial SSU rRNA". It matches the Rfam family "Bacterial small subunit ribosomal RNA", at positions 69 to 763 of the family's 1533-position model. The record is from RNAcentral.